UUCCACAUUCUUUGUUUCACAUUAAGUCCUCAAAAACUGGUGGCUGUUUAACAGUUACAGCACAUCUCAAUUAAGACCCAUCCCCUUUCAACUGUCCAGUGUCCAGACAUGGUUCGUGGCUGUGGUACCCAACAGUGCAGGUGGGACAAAUGUGGUCUGACCACGAGAGUAUGGGGGGCUGGGUUAUGCAGGGAUGAUACAGUGAGACACAACAGCUUCCCUGAGGGGCUCGCACUCUCAGAGGGAGGAGACAGGUAAAGAGAUCAUGUGACCAUAAAGGGUAAACACUGAAAUGGAUCUGCCAUGGGAACCCAGGGAGGGCACGUGGCUUAGGCUGGGCGUCAGGAAGACUUGCAGAGAGAGAGAAUGCGCUGAGCCUGAAACACACGUAAGAGUUUGUACAGGUAGCCAGGCACAGUGGCUCAGGCCCGUAAUCCCAGCACUUUGGGAGGCCAAGGCGGGGGAAUCACCUGAGGUCAGGAGUUCGAGACCAGCCUGGCCAACAUGGUGAAACCCCAUAUCUACUAAAAAUACAAAAAAUUAGCUGGGCAUGGUGGCGGGUGCCUGUAAUCCCAGCUACUUGGCAGGCUGACGCAGGAGAAUCGCUUGAACCUGGGAGGCGGAGGUCUGCAGGCAGAGUGUUGAGUCACAUGGUAACUAUAUAUUUAACUUUCAGAAACUAAUGAUUUUCCACAGCAGCUGCACUACUUUACAUUCCCACUAGCAAAGCACAAAGGUUCCAAUUUCUCUACAUCCUUGCCAACACUUGUUUUUUUAAAUUUUUUUAUUUUUUGAGAUGGAGUUUCACUCUUGCUGUCCAGGCUGGAGUGCAAUGGCACAGUCUUGGCUCACUGCAACCUCCAGUGCCCGGGUUCAAGCGAGUCUCCUGCUUCAGCCUCCCUAGUAGCUGGGAUUACAGGCACCCCCCAUCCCACCAUGCCCAGCUAAUUUUUUGUAUUUUUAGUAGAGAUGGGGUUUCCCUAUAUUGGCCAGCUGGUCAGGAGUUCAAGACCAGCCUGGCCAACAUGGUGAAACCCCAUCUCUUCUAAAAAUACAAAAAAAAAAAAAAAUUAGCCAGGCGUGGUGGUGUACGCCUGUAGUCCUAGCUACUCAGGAGGCUGAGGCAGGAGAGUCACUUGAACCCAGGAGGUGGAGGUGGUAGUGAGCCGAGAUUGCACCACUGUACUCCAUCCUGGGCAACAGAGCGAGACUUCGUCUCAAAAUAAAUAAAUAAAGUGUUAUACUUCAGUGGUUUCUGGUAUAUUCUCAGAGUUGUUCAAACAUCACCACUAUCUAAUUUCAAAACAUCUUAUUGCCCCAAAAAAGAAACCCUGUACCCAUUAGCAGUCAUUCCCCAAUCCCUCCUCUGCCCAGCCCUGGCAACCACUGUCUACUUUCUGUUCUGUGGAUUUGGAGUAGAAUCAUAUAGUAUGUGGCCUCUUGUGACUGGCUUCCUUCUCUUGGCAUGAUGUUUAAAGGUUCAUCUACAUUGUAGUGUGUGUCAGGAUUUCAUUUCUUUUUGUGGCUGAAUCAUAUUCCAUGGUAUGCAUGCACCACAUUUUGUCUACGGAUAUUUGAGUUGUUUCCACAUUUUGGCUAUUAUUAAUGCUGCUAUACACAUUUGGCAGAGUGCAGUAGCUCACACCUAUAAUCCUAGCACUUUGGGAGGCUGAGGCAAACGGAUCAAUUGAGGCAGGAGUUUGAGACCAGCUUGGCCAACAUGGCAAAACCCCGUCUCUACUAAAAAUAUAUAGCCAGGCAUGGUGGUGCAUGUCUGUAAUCCCAGCUGUUCAGGAGGCUAAGGCACAAGAAUCGCUUGAAUCCGAGAGGCAGAGCUUGCAGUGAGCCAAGAUCGCACCACUGCACUGACAGUGUUUCAUCAUGUUGGCCAAGCUGGUUUCAAACUCCUGAUCUCAAGUGAGCUGCCCACCUUGUUCUCUCAAAGUGCUGAGAUUACAGGCAUGAGCCCCUGCACCCAGCCUGCAUAACUUUUUUUAAAAGGCAUUGUUGCCUUGUUCCCUUGAAUCACUUUCUCUGGGAAACUAGCUAUCAUGUCAUGAGGACACUCAAGCAGCUCUGGGAGAGACCCCCUGUGGCUAGAAGCUGUGGAUUCUCACCAACAGCCAUGCAAGAUUCCCCAGCCCCAGUCGAGCCUUCAGAUGACCACAGCCCCAGCUGAUAUCUUGACUGCAAUAUCAUGAAAAACCAUGUGUCAGAACUGCUCAGACAUGUUGCUCCCAAAUUCUGGACCUGCAGAAACCAUGAAAGACAAUAAAUGAUUAUUGCUGUUUUAGGUCACUAUGUUUUGAGCUAACUUCUUACACAGCAAUAGAUACUAAUGCAUAUUUUAACCAGUUUCCUACAUUAAAAC
This 2371-nucleotide long non-coding RNA is filed under the name Homo sapiens (human). RNAcentral's name for it is "HSALNT0371119". The record is from RNAcentral. Lineage: Eukaryota; Metazoa; Chordata; Mammalia; Primates; Hominidae.